This 253-nucleotide ribosomal RNA is filed under the name uncultured bacterium. Its description in RNAcentral is "partial 16S ribosomal RNA". It matches the Rfam family "Bacterial small subunit ribosomal RNA", at positions 524 to 776 of the family's 1533-position model. The record is from RNAcentral.
UACGUAGGGUGCAAGCGUUGUCCGGAAUUAUUGGGCGUAAAGAGCUUGUAGGCGGUUUGUCGAGUCUGCUGUGAAAUUUCGGGGCUCAACCCCGAACUUGCAGUGGGUACGGGCAGACUAGAGUGUGGUAGGGGAGACUGGAAUUCCUGGUGUAGCGGUGAAAUGCGCAGAUAUCAGGAGGAACACCGGUGGCGAAGGCGGGUCUCUGGGCAGCAACUGACGCUGAGGAGCGAAAGCGUGGGGAGCGAACAGG